Impatiens glandulifera is the source of this 125-nucleotide small nucleolar RNA. NCBI's taxonomy places the organism in Eukaryota, Viridiplantae, Streptophyta, Magnoliopsida, Ericales, Balsaminaceae. The record is from RefSeq and is a predicted model, not a curated record.
GAGCAAGUGCGUCAAUUGUUUCAAUGAUGAAUUACUUGCAUUGAAGGUUGGCAAUAGUAUGAACGAUUCUCCGUGCCUAUCAAAUUUUUCAGUUUUGAAUACGGCCUCGAACAAAUCGCAACACU